AGAGUUUGAUCAUGGCUCAGAACGAACGCUGGCGGCAUGCCUAACACAUGCAAGUCGAACGAGACCUUCGGGUCUAGUGGCGCACGGGUGCGUAGCGCGUGGGAAUCUGCCUUGGGUUCGGAAUAACAGUUAGAAAUGACUGCUAAUACCGAAUGAUGUCUUCGGACCAAAGAUUUAUCGCCCAAGGAUGAGCCCGCGUCGGAUUAGCUAGUUGGUGAGGUAAAAGGCUCACCAAGGCGACGAUCCGUAGCUGGUCUGAGAGGAUGAUCAGCCACACUGGGACUGAGACACGGCCCAGACUCCUACGGGAGGCAGCAGUGGGGAAUAUUGGACAAUGGGCGAAAGCCUGAUCCAGCAAUGCCGCGUGAGUGAUGAAGGCCUUAGGGUUGUAAAGCUCUUUUACCCGGGAUGAUAAUGACAGUACCGGGAGAAUAAGCCCCGGCUAACUCCGUG
This 453-nucleotide ribosomal RNA is filed under the name uncultured bacterium. RNAcentral's name for it is "bacterial SSU rRNA". It matches the Rfam family "Bacterial small subunit ribosomal RNA", at positions 8 to 507 of the family's 1533-position model. The record is from RNAcentral.